This 460-nucleotide ribosomal RNA is filed under the name uncultured bacterium. Its description in RNAcentral is "partial 16S ribosomal RNA". It matches the Rfam family "Bacterial small subunit ribosomal RNA", at positions 338 to 795 of the family's 1533-position model. The record is from RNAcentral.
CCUACGGGAGGCUGCAGUGAGGAAUAUUGGUCAAUGGACGAGAGUCUGAACCAGCCAAGUAGCGUGAAGGAUGACUGCCCUAUGGGUUGUAAACUUCUUUUAUAUGGGAAUAAAAUGUUCCACGUGUGGGAUUUUGUAUGUACCAUAUGAAUAAGGAUCGGCUAACUCCGUGCCAGGAGCCGCGGUAAUACGGAGGAUCCGAGCGUUAUCCGGAUUUAUUGGGGUUAAAGGGAGCGUAGGUGGAUUGUUAAGUCAGUUGUGAAAGUUUGCGGCUCAACCGUAAAAUUGCAGUUGAAACUGGCAGUCUUGAGUACAGUAGAGGUGGGCGGAAUUCGUGGUGUAGCGGGGAAAUGCUUAGAUAUCACGAAGAACUCCGAUUGCGAAGGCAGCUCACUGGACUGCAACUGACACUGAGGCUCGAAAGUGUGGGUAUCAAACAGGAUUAGAUACCCGUGUAGUC